RNAcentral lists this ribosomal RNA (496 nucleotides) under uncultured bacterium. RNAcentral's name for it is "partial 16S ribosomal RNA". It matches the Rfam family "Bacterial small subunit ribosomal RNA", at positions 29 to 507 of the family's 1533-position model. The record is from RNAcentral.
ACGAACGCUGGCGGCGUGCCUAAUACAUGCAAGUAGAACGCUGAAGGAAGGAGCUUGCUCUUUCUGGAUGAGUUGCGAACGGGUGAGUAACGCGUAGGUAACCUGCCUGGUAGCGGGGGAUAACUAUUGGAAACGAUAGCUAAUACCGCAUAAAAUUGAUUAUUGCAUGAUAGUCAAUUAAAAGGUGCAACUGCACCACUACCAGAUGGACCUGCGUUGUAUUAGCUAGUUGGUGGGGUAACGGCUCACCAAGGCGACGAUACAUAGCCGACCUGAGAGGGUGAUCGGCCACACUGGGACUGAGACACGGCCCAGACUCCUACGGGAGGCAGCAGUAGGGAAUCUUCGGCAAUGGACGGAAGUCUGACCGAGCAACGCCGCGUGAGUGAAGAAGGGUUUCGGAUCGUAAAGCUCUGUUGUAAGAGAAGAACGAGUGUGAGAGUGGAAAGUUCACACUGUGACGGUAUCUGACCAGAAAGGGACGGCUAACUACGUG